This 477-nucleotide ribosomal RNA is filed under the name uncultured bacterium. RNAcentral describes it as "bacterial SSU rRNA". It matches the Rfam family "Bacterial small subunit ribosomal RNA", at positions 30 to 494 of the family's 1533-position model. The record is from RNAcentral.
AGUGAACGCUGGCGGCAGGCCUAAUACAUGCAAGUCGAACGGCAGCACAGCAGAGCUUGCUCUGUGGGUGGCGAGUGGCGGACGGGUGAGGAAUACAUGGGAAUCUGCCCAGUCGUGGGGGAUAACGUAUGGAAACGUACGCUAAUACCGCAUGCGCCCUACGGGGGAAAGCCGGGGACCGCAAGGCCUGGCGCGAUUGGAUGAGCCCAUGUUCGAUUAGCUAGUUGGCGGGGUAAAGGCCCACCAAGGCGACGAUCGAUAGCUGGUCUGAGAGGAUGAUCAGCCACACUGGAACUGAGACACGGUCCAGACUCCUACGGGAGGCAGCAGUGGGGAAUAUUGGACAAUGGGGGAAACCCUGAUCCAGCAAUGCCGCGUGUGUGAAGAAGGCCUGCGGGUUGUAAAGCACUUUUGGCAGGGAAGAAAAGCACUGGCCGAAUACGCCAGUGUGUUGACGUAACCUGCAGAAGAAGCACC